AGAGUUUGAUCCUGGCCCAGAACGAACGCUGGCGGCACGCCUAACACAUGCAAGUCGAGCGAUAAGCACCCUUCGGGGUGUGGACAGCGGCGGACGGGUGAGUAUCGCGUGGGAACCUGCCUAUUGGCACGGAACAACAGUUAGAAAUGACUGCUAAUACCGUAUAUUCCCUUUGGGGGAAAGAUUUAUCGCCAAUAGAUGGGCCCGCGUUAGAUUAGCUAGAUGGUAAGGUAAUGGCUUACCAUGGCGACGAUCUAUAGCUGGUUUGAGAGGAUGAUCAGCCACACUGGGACUGAGACACGGCCCAGACUCCUACGGGAGGCAGCAGUGGGGAAUAUUGGACAAUGGGGGCAACCCUGAUCCAGCGAUGCCGCGUGUGUGAUGAAGGCCUUAGGGUUGUAAAACACUUUCAGAUGGGAUGAUAAUGACAGUACCAUCAGAAGAAGCUCCGGCUAACUCCGUGCCAGCAGCCGCGGUAAUACGGAGGGAGCUAGCGUUGUUCGGAAUUACUGGGCGUAAA
Molecule: ribosomal RNA, 520 nt
Filed under: uncultured Pseudomonadota bacterium
Lineage: Bacteria; Pseudomonadati; Pseudomonadota
Description: bacterial SSU rRNA
Rfam family: Bacterial small subunit ribosomal RNA
Source: RNAcentral